AAAGUCGAAAAUUUUUCCUAA
RNAcentral lists this microRNA (21 nucleotides) under Ananas comosus (pineapple). RNAcentral's name for it is "microRNA s0979_c124a". Lineage: Eukaryota; Viridiplantae; Streptophyta; Magnoliopsida; Poales; Bromeliaceae. The record is from RNAcentral.